RNAcentral lists this ribosomal RNA (451 nucleotides) under uncultured bacterium. RNAcentral's name for it is "partial 16S ribosomal RNA". It matches the Rfam family "Bacterial small subunit ribosomal RNA", at positions 28 to 507 of the family's 1533-position model. The record is from RNAcentral.
GAUGAACGCUGGCGGCGUGCCUAACACAUGCAAGUCGAGCGGCAGCGAGGUGUGCUUGCCCCCUGUCGGCGAGCGGCGGACGGAUGAGUAACGCGUGGGAACGUGCCCCAAAGUGAGGAAAAACUGCGCGAAAGGGUAUAUAAUCACGCGAAGUAUCUUCGGAUCAAAGGAUUUAUCCGGUCUGGGAGCGGGGCGGGUGGGGUGAGGGCGUUGGUGGGGUAAUGUCUCAGGAAGGCGACGAACCGUAGCUGGUCAGAGAGGAUGACCAGCACGACUGGAACUGCGACACGAUCCAGACUCAUGCGGGAGGGAGCAGUGGGGAAUCUUCCAAAACGGGAGAAAGCCUGAUGGGGCAACGCGGUGUGGAGGACGAAGGCCUGUGGGUUGUAAAAUGCUUUUAUAAGUGAGGAAUAUGACGGUAACUUAUGAAUAAGGAUCGGCUAACUACGUG